CCUCACACAGGGCUGAGGUCUCUGGGAAGGCAGAGCUGUGGUCUAGAAGAAGAUGAGACUGCUAAGUCUUCUCCUGUGCCUGGUGACAGUCCCCCAAGGUGUCCUGUCCCAGGUGCAGCUGCAGGAGUUGGGCCCAAGACUGGUGAAGCCCUCGCAGACCCGCUCCCUCAGCUGCACAGUCUCUGGAUUCUCUAUCACAACCAGUGGUUAUGACUGGAACUGGAUACGCCAGCCCCCGGGAAAGGGGCUGGAAUGGAUAGGGCGCAUAAAUUUUGAUGGAAACAUUUAUUACAGCCCCUCCCUCAAGAGCCGAAUCUCCAUCUCCAGAGACACGUCCAAGAACCAGUUCUUCAUGAAGCUCAGCUCCGUGAUAAUGGAGGACACGGCCAUGUAUUACUGUGUGAGAGAGACACAGUGA
This is a non-coding RNA of Myotis davidii, 418 nucleotides long. Lineage: Eukaryota; Metazoa; Chordata; Mammalia; Chiroptera; Vespertilionidae. The record is from the annotation of a RefSeq genome assembly.